GCACAUAUUUUUUUGCAGAAUAACUUCAUUGAGAAAAAAGUUGGCCCUCAUGAAAAACUUCCUUGGGCACAAAGUGUCAUUAGAAAGGGCUUCACAGGUGACACUUCACUGAAUACCGUUAAGAUAUAUUCUGGUUUGUUACUUCCAAACCAAUUAUUCAUUUGAGUGGUUUUUUUUCUUGCCUUAAUUAAAUGUUGCAUAUUUUUCAUUAUUUUAAGCACUUGAAAAGCUAUUGAAAGAUCAUGCAGGGAGAUAUGCCACUGGAGAUGAAAUUUUUCUGGUACUUGCAAUUCAUAUGACAAUGCUCAGUUACUAUUAUUAUACCAUGUGUGUUUGUAUGCGUAUUUUUAUACUUAAAUUUAGCUGCAGCACUUUAUGCAUCUUUGGGGGACUAGGCAUAUGACUGAUUAUAGGAAUCAAUUCCUUUUUGUGAUAAUAACAACUAUUAUUAUAAUAUUUUUGUACUUAAAUUUAUGCAGCACUUAAAUUUUUAUACAAGCAUGUUUACUCAUCUUAAUUGGAUGUGGCAACCCUUUUUAAUGAACAACUAUUAUUAUAAUAUUAGUAUUCCUUUGAAAGCAUGUCUUUGGAAUGUGAACUUGGAUUUUUACCUUAGCAACUUGUAAGGCAUCUUUCUAAGUAUAAUAAUUGGAUGAUCAAUUCUUUCUCACCCUGUUUGUCCAUGUAUUUUGUGAUCUUGUUCUGUUUGAUUGGCCUUUAUGGUUAACAAAACCGAACCAAUUACCGAACCUACGGUUACUAGGAUCAAUAUGGUUGAGCCGGCAUAAACACCCCUUUUGACUAGGUAGCAUUCACCAUUCAACCAACCUAUCCUAUAAGGCUGCCUCUUACUCAUGCUUGUGGCAGUUAUCAAUAAGAUCAUUGCAAUCCCAAAGCUAAGCCUGCCAACCAUCACAUCAUUCAAAUUUUAUUACUGCAUUAGGGGCAAAGCUUUUUUGUUCUUCUAUUGUGUACAAUUGAAUUUGUGCUAUAGAGUUCCUGUUCUUAUUAUGUAAUUUGUAUUAAUGGAAUUCAAAACAGUGUAGGGGAAUUUGAGUUUUGAAAUACCUUUAAUUCUUAUUAUUAGUCUUCAAUAUGUAGUGCAAGAUCACUUAGAGGAUUUUAAUUGGUGUUGCCGUGAAAAAUGUAAUCUAACAGCCCAUUCCAGAGCCCCGCUAGGAAUGAACAAGGGAAUGAACACUGAUACAAUUGUUAAGGCCAAGAGUUUUCUUGAUGGUGACGAAGAUCAGCAUGAAAAAGAUGUGUUUGAGAAGAAUUUGAAGGCGCUUCAGAAGAUUUUUUAGUCAUUAUGCCAAGAUUAAAAGAUUGACGAUUUUCUGUUUGUUAAGCUCUUGUCGGAUAUAGAGUGCAAACUUUGCAUUUUAAUUGAUGUGAUACAAGUUUCAUGUGACUUAAA
Molecule: RNA transcript, 1417 nt
Organism: Arachis duranensis
Lineage: Eukaryota; Viridiplantae; Streptophyta; Magnoliopsida; Fabales; Fabaceae
Exons: 2
Source: RefSeq, a predicted model, not a curated record